Molecule: transfer RNA, 74 nt
Filed under: Caudoviricetes sp.
Lineage: Duplodnaviria; Heunggongvirae; Uroviricota; Caudoviricetes
Description: tRNA-Asp
Rfam family: tRNA
About the family: Transfer RNA (tRNA) molecules are approximately 80 nucleotides in length. Their secondary structure includes four short double-helical elements and three loops (D, anti-codon, and T loops).
Source: RNAcentral
GCGACUGGGGCUGGCUUGGUAAUGGUACUCCACUGUCUAUGGAGAAUAUGCGAGUUCGAAUCUCGUCAGUCGCG